Molecule: unclassified non-coding RNA, 469 nt
Filed under: Candida albicans
Lineage: Eukaryota; Fungi; Ascomycota; Pichiomycetes; Serinales; Debaryomycetaceae
Description: sequence contains 18S rRNA gene, ITS1, 5.8S rRNA gene, ITS2, 28S rRNA gene
Rfam family: 5.8S ribosomal RNA (bases 140-293)
Source: RNAcentral
CUGAUUUGCUUAAUUGCACCACAUGUGUUUUUCUUUGAAACAAACUUGCUUUGGCGGUGGGCCCAGCCUGCCGCCAGAGGUCUAAACUUACAACCAAUUUUUUAUCAACUUGUCACACCAGAUUAUUACUAAUAGUCAAAACUUUCAACAACGGAUCUCUUGGUUCUCGCAUCGAUGAAGAACGCAGCGAAAUGCGAUACGUAAUAUGAAUUGCAGAUAUUCGUGAAUCAUCGAAUCUUUGAACGCACAUUGCGCCCUCUGGUAUUCCGGAGGGCAUGCCUGUUUGAGCGUCGUUUCUCCCUCAAACCGCUGGGUUUGGUGUUGAGCAAUACGACUUGGGUUUGCUUGAAAGACGGUAGUGGUAAGGCGGGAUCGCUUUGACAAUGGCUUAGGUCUAACCAAAAACAUUGCUUGCGGCGGUAACGUCCACCACGUAUAUCUUCAAACUUUGACCUCAUAUCAGGUAUCA